GUGCUCUCUUCGGCAGCACAUAUACUAAAAUGGAACUAUACAGACAAGAUUAGCAUGGCCUCUCCACCAGGGUGACACUCAUAUUUGUGAAGUACUUCAUAUUUUG
Small nuclear RNA from Molossus molossus (Pallas's mastiff bat), 106 nucleotides. The record is from RefSeq and is a predicted model, not a curated record. NCBI's taxonomy places the organism in Eukaryota, Metazoa, Chordata, Mammalia, Chiroptera, Molossidae.